This 125-nucleotide ribosomal RNA is filed under the name Petromyzon marinus (sea lamprey). Lineage: Eukaryota; Metazoa; Chordata; Hyperoartia; Petromyzontiformes; Petromyzontidae. The record is from RNAcentral.
GCUUACAACCAAGUCGCCCUGAAUGCACCCAAUCUCUCGUCAUCUCCCAGAAGCUAAGCAACACUGAGGCUGGUUAGUGCUCGGAUGGAUUGGUGACUACCAGUGCAAACCAGGUGUUAUAGGCA